AAUUCAGCACCCUUUCUCUGCAGGUGACACCCGAGACUUCACCUCUGGUCCAGAUUCACGUCCACCGCUUCCAUCCCCAUAACUGUGAUGGUGCUGAGCAGCUCUGGCCUGCAGCUUGAACAUGAGUUCACCUGUCAAAAGAAUUAUUGGCUGGACAUGAAUCAAGGCGGUAGAGAAGGCAAGCAAAGAAAACCAUAGCCAAAUGUUUAGGUAAGUUAAGAUUAAUUGAUGCC
RNAcentral lists this long non-coding RNA (233 nucleotides) under Sus scrofa (pig). RNAcentral's name for it is "lncRNA (ENSSSCG00070025119.1)". Lineage: Eukaryota; Metazoa; Chordata; Mammalia; Artiodactyla; Suidae. The record is from RNAcentral.